This 749-nucleotide ribosomal RNA is filed under the name uncultured endophytic bacterium. RNAcentral's name for it is "bacterial SSU rRNA". It matches the Rfam family "Bacterial small subunit ribosomal RNA", at positions 335 to 1073 of the family's 1533-position model. The record is from RNAcentral.
ACUCCUACGGGUGGCUGCAGUCGAGAAUAUUUCGCAAUGGGGGAAACCCUGACGAUGCGACGCCGCGUGGGGGAUGAAGGCCUUCGGGUCGUAAACCUCUGUGUUACGGGAUGAAUUGAGCGUUGCUGAUAACGCAGCGUUUUUGACGUUACCGUAGUAGAAAGCCCCAGCUAACUACGUGCCAGCAGCUGCGGUAAUACGUAGGGGGCAAGCGUUGUCCGGAAUCACUGGGCGUAAAGCGCGCGCAGGCGGUGGAGUAAGUCAGACGUGAAAGGGUUCGGCUCAACCGAGCCAUUGCGUUUGAUACUGCCUCACUUGAGUCUAGAAGAGGAAAGUGGAAUGUAUGGUGUAGCGGUGGAAUGCUUAGAUAUCAUAUAGAACACCCGUGGCGAAGGCGGCUUUCUGGUCUAAGACUGACGCUCAUGCGCGAAAGUUUGGGGAGCAACCGGGAUUAGAAACCCCGGUAGUCCACGCCGUAAACGAUGUACAUUAGGUGUUCGGCAACGAUGGUUGUUGAGUGUCGCAGCAAACGCGAUAAAUGUACCGCCUGGGGAGUACGGUCGCAAGGCUAAAACUCAAAGGAAUUGACGGGGGCCCGCACAAGCAGCGGAGCGUGUGGUUUAAUUCGAGGCUACGCGAAGAACCUUACCUGGGAGUGACAUGUUGGUAGUACGGAAGCGAAAGCGGAAGGACCCUUCGGGGAGCCAGCACAGGUGCUGCAUGGUUGUCGUCAGCUCGUGUCGUGAGAU